AGUGAACGCUGGCGGUAGGCCUAACACAUGCAAGUCGAACGGCAGCACAGUAAGAGCUUGCUCUUACGGGUGGCGAGUGGUGGACGGGUGAGGAAUACAUCGGAAUCUACUUUUUCGUGGGGGAUAACGUAGGGAAACUUACGCUAAUACCGCAUACGACCUGCGGGUGAAAGCAGGGGAUCUUCGGACCUUGCGCGAUUGAAUGAGCCGAUGUCGGAUUAGCUAGUUGGCGGGGUAAAGGCCCACCAAGGCGACGAUCCGUAGCUGGUCUGAGAGGAUGAUCAGCCACACUGGAACUGAGACACGGUCCAGACUCCUACGGGAGGCAGCAGUGGGGAAUAUUGGACAAUGGGCGCAAGCCUGAUCCAGCCAUACCGCGUGGGUGAAGAAGGCCUUCGGGUUGUAAAGCCCUUUUGUUGGGAAAGAAAAGCAGCAGGUUAAUACCCCGCUGUUCUGACGGUACCCAAAGAAUAAGCACCGGCUAACUUCGUG
This 492-nucleotide ribosomal RNA is filed under the name uncultured bacterium. Its description in RNAcentral is "partial 16S ribosomal RNA". It matches the Rfam family "Bacterial small subunit ribosomal RNA", at positions 29 to 507 of the family's 1533-position model. The record is from RNAcentral.